ACGCACGCUGGCGGCGUGCCUCAUACCUGCAAGUCGAGCGGACGGAUGGGAGCUUGCUCCCAGACCGUCAGCGGCGGACGGGUGAGUAACACGUGGGCAACCUGCCUGUAAGACUGGGAUAACUCCGGGAAACCGGGGCUAAUACCGGAUAACUCUUUCCCUCACAUGAGGGAAAGCUGAAAGAUGGCAUCUCGCUAUCACUUACAGAUGGGCCCGCGGCGCAUUAGCUAGUUGGUGAGGUAACGGCUCACCAAGGCGACGAUGCGUAGCCGACCUGAGAGGGUGAUCGGCCACACUGGGACUGAGACACGGCCCAGACUCCUACGGGAGGCAGCAGUAGGGAAUCUUCCGCAAUGGACGAAAGUCUGACGGAGCAACGCCGCGUGAGUGAUGAAGGUUUUCGGAUCGUAAAACUCUGUUGUCAGGGAAGAACAAGUACCGGAGUAACUGCCGGUACCUUGACGGUACCUGAACAGAAAGCCACGGCUAACUACGUG
Molecule: ribosomal RNA, 497 nt
Filed under: uncultured bacterium
Lineage: Bacteria
Description: partial 16S ribosomal RNA
Rfam family: Bacterial small subunit ribosomal RNA
Source: RNAcentral